GGGAACCUUAAACAAAAACAUAAAACAAAACCCUGGAGAGUCGUUUUUGAAAGAAGGAACGACCCACCCCUCUGAUUUUGGAGCACCCAACAACCUUCUUCAACCUUAGAACCAAAACAAGCUGAACCCUAAACCCCCAUAGACCACCAACUGCCGCCAGCCUUAACGCCCAAGACUCGCCAAAAAACGAGCACCAGUGUCGCUGGCUACAAACUAUCCAGCCGCCAGUCAUCUUCGCCAUCUCCAGCCGUCCACCUCCAGCCGUCUCGCCGGAAUUCAACCACCUCCAUACACAAACGACCUCUAUCAGCCUCCACCCUAACCCCGAUCUCCAUCAGCGACCACACCCGCCGAACCCCACCCCAAAAAACGACUUUAGAGACGAAGAAAAAUAGCAACAAUUGCUGCUUCUUCAACUCCUCCUCCCACUAACCAGUGGCGAACUCGCCGAAAAACACACAGCCAAAUCGCUGGAAAGAAAUGGGCCAUGUUGUCGUCCAAGGUUCGUCGGUCCCGGUUCGUUUGUGCAAGGAUUCACGUUCGGAUUUUGUUUUUACUUCUGUUGCUUGCCUUAUUUGAUAUGCAAAGAAAGCAAAUUUUAGUUUGUUCGAUUUGUCGCUGUUUGCACUUGUUCGAGCUUGAAAUUUCGUCACUGACGUUUCAUUUGUCCGUGCGCUCGAUCAGAAAUUAAGUAUAAGGAAUUUGCUUGAUAAGGUUCACUCUAACCCCUUCUCAGUUGUUUCAAUGCUUGGUUACAUUUUAAUGUUGAAUAUUUUUUCCCUUGCUUGUUUGUUUUGUUUUGCUACUCAUUUGUUCUGUUUUAGAAAAUCUAGUAAUGUUCUUUUUGUUUAAUUUUGUUUUUCUUCAUUGAUUUAGUUCUUCUCCAUGUGGUGUUCAUUUGAAAAUUCCAAAUAGUGGAUGCAAGUUAAGUAAUCAGAGUCGUUAAGAGUUUAUAGUAAAUUAAUUUGGGCCUUUUAAUAGUAAUUGGGUUUGGAUUUGUAGAAAUAAAAUCAAAGUGGAUGUUUGGCUGAUACCUUAGGCUUUACACAUACAUAGUCUUUAACGAGUUUAUGUUUUGGAUUAUUGUUAUACCAUGACAAUAUGUUCAAUAGAGUCAUAGUUUAAAUUAAUAUGUUUGUUUGAUAUUUCCGUUAGAAGCAUGCUUAGGCCGGCAACACUCGGGUAGGCAAGCCUUAGGAUUUUGUUAGUUUCAAGGCGAGAGAUCGUUCCUUUAGUUAAAUUUAUCCGGGGAAUGCCCCGAGGGAUUUGUAUAUAUUUUAUUUCAGGGGUAUGCCCCGAAGUGAAUGUAACGGAGGCCGCAUCUACACCGUGGAGGAAGUAUAGUGUAGGUUAGCUUAGAAUUUUACUUUUUAUUAUUUUUAUUUUUAUUUUUCUUUUAUUAGGUGGGGACGACCUAGAUCCUCUUUUGUGUUUAUUUUUGUUUGUGUGUUUUCACCUAAAUUUGAGUAUUCUUAAAAGCCAACUUGAUCAUAUAUGCAACAGUACUAGUUUCGGGACUCGGGGAAUGCCUAACACCUUCUCCCCGAGUCAAAUGAACCCCCUUACCCGAAUCUCUGGUGCAGACUUAGUUUCGGAGUCUAAAGUGUUUUAAAAGGAAAAUCUAUUUCUUAAAAAAUGGCGACCUGGCACACCGAAACCAAUGUCAGGUGGCGACUCUGAGUUAUUUCCUUUUGAACAUAAUUUUUGUCACGUUCUAAUUGGAAAACCCUUUUCAAGCUUUACAAAUCACUUUUAUAUUUUUAAGAGGGUUAGUGAGGUUUGUAAAAAAAGAGUGUGACAUCUCUGGCGACUCUGCUGGGAACUUGCAGGUUCGAGCUAGUACUUGAUCUUGUUGGCUUUUAGGAUAUUCGGUUGAGGUGUUUGUUUUCUUUAUUUGCUUUGUUUGUCUUAUUUCCUUGUUUUGUUGGUUAUUUGUUUAUCGCCUUUCUUAAUGUGCUACUGCUUUAUAAACUGUCAUCAUUUGCAUAACCAUGGGUCUUCUUUCUGCAACAAGUCUCGGAGUACGCGUCGCGUGCACGAACUCUUUGUUGAGUCACCAUUAAUUUAGGAGGGGGGCCGUCGGGCGUAUGGAGUGGGUGGAAAAGCUUGAGCAGCCACCAUCGACCAUACGCUCCCCCGAAUUGCCUUGUUAGUGAACCCCAAACUUAGGUAAGCCUUUAGGUCAUUUUUAUUUGCAUAAUGUUAUUUAGACAUGGCAGGGCUCGGUCCCAGGUAUCGUGUCCCGUCGUAGGAGGCCUAUCCAAAUUAUGUAAAAAAUGAGCCCAUUGCCCAAUGACAUUUAAUCAUCCUAUGUGCUAAAUGUUGCAUCUACGAGGGUAGAAAGGUCAUUUGGCAGACCGAUGUUUUGGAAAGAAGGGUGAAAAAUGAAGCAAGUUAUUUUUCUUUCACAACUUUUUCAAUAAAAAACCAAAUUCUUUUUAUACUUUCCCAUUAUUUUCCCAAACAAAUCAAAAAAAAAAGAAAGAAAAGGAAAGUUCAAAAAGAUUUUGCACUUUCCCAUUAUUUUCCAAAAAAUAGAAAAAAAAAAGAAUUCCAUCAUUUUUUUUCAAAAACUAUAGUUUCUCCAAAUUAGUUGCAUUUUUUAAGCUUUCUCUCGUGUCAGAUCUUCUCGAACUACGCGAACCUGAUUCUCGUCUUUCGGGGCAGGAUACGUAGGCAACUCACAUAGGGUCCGGUCUUUCUUAGUAAGCCUUAGGUUUUUGGCUUCGCGGGGUCUUAGCCAAAUCUUGCAUAUCUAGCCACUUUUGGCCACACCGACUUUGUUGCAAAAUGGGGCUAUUUUGCGAAGUGGCUUAUUGGGCCGUGUUUGGAGAGUCUAGAAUCCACAAUUAGGUGUCUCCCUACUUCAAGGCCCGUUCCUGUUGAAUUUGCGUGUCUAGCCAUUUUUGGCCACAUCGGUCAUUCUUGCAAAAUGGGGUCAUUUUCGCAAAAGUGGUUCAAUUACCCAUGUCUUAGGAUCUUGAGGCCACAACUCGAUAUCAUAUCACUUUAAGGUCCAUCCUUGUCGUGUUUGUGUCCCUAGCCACAUUUGGCCACAUUGACCGUUUUUGCAAAAUGGGUCAUUUUUGCAAAAUAAUUUUGGGCCAUAAUUAUUGGGGGUUUGAAGCCAUAUAAGCCUUACUGAGGCAUUUUUCACGUUUUUGAGGUCAGUCUUGUUGAUUUUACCCUAAUAGCCACAUUUUGGCUACGUAGGUCAUUUUACAAAAAUAGCCUUAAUCAUGCCUUGCAUGUGUCCAAUAGAAGGUGUCGUGGCAUCACAUGUGUCUUGAGUCUAACUCUAUUUGAUCUUAUUUUCCCAUUCAGGUAUGGAUCAGUGUACCAAAGCUCGAGCAUGAUAAAUACCCCAAGACCACUGCAUUUAUGAGUUGCUUAUAAAUACUUUUAUGUUUUAGUCUAUCUUAUGUUGUCUUUUAAUUUUUAGUUUUGUACAGUAGUAUCUAGUCUGUCAAUCUAGUUAUGAUUGUCGAGUCUUUUGUUACAGUACUUCCUGUUUUGUAUUUGAAAAACCAAAAAAAUUACUAAAUGAAAAAUCCCAAAAAAUGUUUGUUUCUUAGUUUAUUUUGUCCAUUAUUUUUUUAGAACUAGGCGUGAUCUGAUUCAUGAGGGGCAUGAUACGUAGGCAACCUACAUAGGGUUCGAUCGAAUAAUCUUUUAAAAAAAC
RNAcentral lists this long non-coding RNA (3682 nucleotides) under Nicotiana tabacum (common tobacco). RNAcentral describes it as "long non-coding RNA (NTAB_LNC001879)". Lineage: Eukaryota; Viridiplantae; Streptophyta; Magnoliopsida; Solanales; Solanaceae. The record is from RNAcentral.